UAAAAUAAUGGCAUCCGGAAGCAGUUUGGGCUUUCAGUUCGCUUUCAACAUUGGUUUUUGUAUGGCGUUUGUCACCGCGUUCCUUGUACUGUUUGUAAUUAAGGAGCGCGUGAGCGGCGCCAAGCUGCUGCAGCGUAUCUCGGGCGUGCGGCCCGCGGUGCUGUGGUCGUGCUCCCUGGUGUGGGACUGGACCUGGAUGCUGUGCGUGUACCUCAGCAUCGUGCUGACCCUGGCCUGCUUCCAGGAGAACACGCUCUCCACGCCCCAAGAGUUGGGCAGAGUCCUAUUGGUGCUGGUGGUGUUCUCGCUGGCGAUAAUACCGCUGCACUACCUCGCGUCAUUCUACUUCGAGGCGGCCGCCACUGGUUUCUCGAAGAUGUGCUUCUUGAAUAUAUUCACUGGUUGUAUGCCGUUCUUAAUAACGGAAGUAUUGCGGCUACCGGAAGUUGGAAGUCCGUUCUAUGCUUCCAUAUUCGACUGGGUGUUCGCGCCGCUGCCUAUCUAUUGCAUGAGCAGAAGUUUUAGGGAUAUGACAGUGUCGUCGUUCUCGCUGCUGGCCUGCGACAGUCUGUGCGGCCAGUACGUCAACAUGGACAACUGUACGCGGGACACGUUGUGUCACAAGCUGAACAUAUCCGUUUGCUGUAUCGAUGACGACCCGUUCCUAAGCUGGAGUGAGCCCGGUAUCGGGCGCUAUCUGUUCAUGAUGACAUUGGUCGGAGCCGUAGCUUUCGCUGUGCUGCUCAUCAAGGAAUAUGAAAUUAUUAACAAGGUGCUCUACUCGGACAGCCGGCCACCGCCCGCCGCCGGCCGCGACGAGGACGGCGACGUGGCGGCCGAGCGGCGCGCCGUCCGCGAGCUGGCGCCGGCCGGCCUGGCCGCCCGCAGCCUGGUGUGCAGGGAGCUGACCAAGUACUACGGGGGCUUGCUGGCCGUCGACAAGCUGUCGUUCGCCGUCCGCAAGGCCGAAUGCUUCGGUCUCCUGGGCAUCAACGGCGCGGGCAAGACGACCACCUUCAAGAUGCUGACGGGAGACGAGCGCAUCAGCAGCGGCGACGCCUACGUGCACGGCCACUCGCUCAAGACGCACAUCCACGACGUGCACAAGCACAUGGGUUACUGUCCACAAUUCGACGCGCUGCUAGACAACUUGACGGCGCGAGAAACGCUCAAGAUAUUCUGCCUCCUGCGAGGUAUUCCGGUACGGGUCGGUUCGGCGCGCGGCAUCCAGUUGGCCGAACAACUCGGAUUUUUGAAGCAUUAUGAUAAAAAGGUCCACGAGUGCAGUGGUGGCACAAAACGAAAGAUAAGCACGGCCGUGGCAUUACUAGGCGACGCCCCUCUUGUGUUUCUCGAUGAACCCACCACGGGUAUGGACCCGGCUUCCAAACGACGCGUGUGGAGCUGUGUGAGCAGCGCGGUGGUGGGGGGUCGCAGCGUGGUGCUGACGUCACACAGCAUGGAGGAGUGCGAGGCGCUGUGCUCGCGGCUCACGGUGAUGGUCAACGGACGACUGUACUGUCUGGGGCCGCUGCAACACCUCAAGAACAAGUUCUCACAAGGUUAUACACUGAUUGUGAAGUGCAAAGAUGUUCCCGCUAGAAGUACUGAAGUAGCAAAUAUAAAACAAUUUAUACUAGACAAUUUCAAAGAAGCGAGACACAUUGAAUCAUACAUGGGCAUUAGCACCUUCUACAUUCUGGACUCGAGCCUGCUGUGGUGGGAGAUAUUCAGCACGAUGGAAGAAGCCUGCAAGCAGUAUCCUAUUGAGGAUUACUCCGUGUCGCAGACCACGUUGGAGCAAGUUUUCCUGAGGUUCAGCCGAAUGCAGUCGCGGCCCGAUGUUUAAGACAACACAUACCUCAUUACAAUCGCUAAUUGUUAGGGUGGCCGCACACUAGAACGCCAGAAAUACUCAAAAUGCAUAUAUUUGAAUAUGUACUUGUGCUGUAAUUAUACUAAUGGUUCAGAAAGCUUAUUUUCUUGAUGGAAGAAUACGAACUUUCUGUAACGCCAUGGAUUCUCCAUGGGUGACCAUCGCGUAGCGAGCAACUCCGAAACAUUGCCUGAGACUUGUGCCUCGGGUGUAGGGUUCUGUCCUUACCAUGUACAUCAGCUCACUACUCUUGUUUCUUUCCCUCCUGAUCAAAUUUUUGGUAAGAAUCCUUUAAAGCUGCCCUUAUUUGUUCGUUCUAUUGAUGAGCUUAAUGCAAACCUUGGCACGCAAUGGUCCUUUACUAUGUUAUAGUGAGAUUUUGCUGACAUACAUCACGCAGCUGCUUGAUUCUCAACUGCUUAAGUAGACGUUAACGACAAAAGAAUCGGAAAUACUGGAGCAUUUUUGUGUCGUAUUUAUAUGACACAUUAGUUAGGUGUGUUCUACGGUGUGCGGCCUGGCUUAUCUGAGUAUUUCGAGAAUUUAAUAGAAAGAAUACUCAUUUGCUUUGUAUGCAAGAGUUACUGUAAUUAACGUAAGAUAUUGUAACAAAAUAUUUUCACAGAGUCUCGUACUUAAUUUUAGACGUCGCUAUUUAUAAAAACACUUUUUGCCUCUGAAUACAUUGUUUAUAAUGUUUUAUGUUGCGCCUAAUAUAAUACACUUAGAUCAUUUAUACGUCCUGAUAGACUGUGACAAUGCCGAAAAAAAUUGAGGUUAACUGUUAACCUCUAUUUUGAGUAAUGUGGUACACUAACACAAAGUGUUUACCAGUGGGAUGCUCCUUUGCACAGGAUGCCGGCUAGAUAAUGGAUACUAAAACGGCGCCUAUUUUUGCCGUGAAGCAAUAAUGUGUAAGCAUUACUGUGCUUCAGUCUGAAGGGCGCCCUAGCUAGUAAAAUUACUGCGAAAAUAAGACUUAACAUCUUAUAUCUCAAGGUGACGAGCGCAAUUGUAGUGCCGCUCAAAAUUAUUAGGCUUUUUAAGAAUCCUGAGCGGCACUGCAUCAGUUGAACGUCCUGCUCGUCUCGUCCCGUAUUUAAAAAAAAAAACAAGUGGCAUACUAAUCGCGAGUGUAAGACGUAGCAAACGUGGCCUGUUUUCAUCGUUUGUCUAGCAGAAAGAGGCUCUAUCUAAGCGUAUUAAUUAUCUAAGACAAUACAUAGAAACACUGUCUUAAAAUUGUUGCUCAUAAAUUUUUUUUUUUACGAUUACGAAUUUUAGUCAAUAUAUUGCUUACUGUUACAUAAACAAUACCGAGGACUAGCUAUAGUUAUAUAGAAGCCGAGUCGAUAGGCAAAAGAAUCAAAAUGGUGGCUUGUAAUUGCAAAUACAAAUAACAGUAAAGAUAGCAAUAAAUUUUGCCUUCGCAUACAAUAAAGAAUAUCAGUAAGUCCGUCAAAUCACUUAAAACUUUAUCGGUGUUAGUACAUAAAAGUUAAACACGUGUUUAACACUAGUUUUAAAUUCAAAUUCAAAUAUUUUUAUUUAAAAUAGGAUGUGAAAUCACUUAUUGAAAGUCAAAAAAAAACUACCACCCAUUCCAAAGUGAAUGCCUCAGGCCUGAGAAGAAUGGGCGCAACAAACUCAGCGGGCUUUUUUUUUCAUCAAAAAUAUGUUUUACAAUUAAAGUAACAUUGUACAAUUAAACUUAUUAUUUAAUAGCCUGAGGGCGGUCGCUCCAUUCCCAAUCUGUGGUAUCAUUAAGAAAGUCAUUUAUGUUAUAGUAACCUUUACCACACAAACGUUUUUUAACAAUUCUUUUGAAUAACGUAACACCUUUGUUUUGAACAUUUUCUGGGAUCUUGUUGUAAAAGCAUAUACGUCGCCCCACAAAAGACUUACUAACUCGACUUAGCCGAGUAGUAGGCAUCAUCAGUUUAUGUCUGUUCCUGGUGUUAACAUUAUGGUUAUGACAGUUUCUGGCAAAUUCACUUAUGUGCCUAUGAACAUACAUUACAUUAUCAAGAAUAUAUUGAGAAGCAACAGUCAAGAUGUUAAUUUCUUUGAAUUUUGCUCUCAAUGAUUCCCUAGGACCUAGGUUAUGUAUAGCGCGAAUAGCCCUCUUCUACAGCACAAAUAUUGUAUUAAUAUCGGCAGCGUUGCCCCAUAGCAAUAUACCAUAGGACAUAAUACUAUGGAAAUAACUAAAGUAUACUAGUCGCGCCCUAUCUAUGUCAGUUAAUUGUCUAAUUUUUUUAACCGCGUAUGCUCCAGAACUAAGUCUGUUCGCCAAUCCUUCAAUAUGGGGGCCCCAUUGUAAUUUGGAAUCUAGAGUUAUGCCAAGAAAUAUAGCAGAUUCCACCGGUUCUAUCACCUCUCCGUUUAACAAAACAUUUGCAUUUACAUUUUUGACAUUUGGUACGGUAAAUUUAAUGAAUUUAGUUUUCUUGCUAUUUAACAAUAGGUUAUUAGCGCUAAACCAGUACACGAUGUCAGAUAAAAUAUCGUUCACUUCGUCAUACAUAGCUUGGUUUCUUUUCACUUUGAAAAUCAGUGAAGUGUCGUCCGCAAACAAUACUACCUUAUGUUUUUUCUCUAUAAGAUUAGGAAGAUCAUUUAUAUAGAUAAGGAAGAGGAACGGUCCAAGAAUAGACCCUUGUGGUACCCCCAUACUGAGAGGAGUCCCAGGAGAUCUCCUGCCAUUCACGUCGACCCUCUGAAUUCUAUUGUUUAGAUAUGAAGUCAGAAGAUCGAGCGAAGUUCCUUUUAUGCCAUAGUGGUAUAGCUUCCUGACCAGCGUUGAAUGUUGAACACAAUCAAAAGCCUUAGAUAAAUCACAGAAGAUGCCAAGUGAAUUCUGCGAUUCCGUUCCGUUCCUGUAAUAAUUGUUCUUCAGUUAAUGUCACUGACGUUGCUAUAGUUAGGCACUGUCUAACAAAACACGUCUUAAUGCCAAGUUUAAUUUUUUGUUUUGUAAUGACACCGUAUGAAUGUAUAGAUUCUGUCUAAAUACGCUAGUUCUUGUUGCAAUUAAUUAAACGAGCAACUUUGAAGUUAUUGCAGGUAAUUUUCACUAACUUAUUAUUAAAAAUAAUUCAUACAUUGCGUGACGUCAUAAGGUCGCAGGAAGCCUACGCCUAGUUUCAAUUAUCAAUACAGUAAUAGUAAAUAAGUCAGGCAGCCUUGCAAAUAAACGCGGGAAACGUUAUACGUCCGAAAAAACCGACCAUAAGCAAAAUGUCUAUUUGUAAACAUUUUGCAUAUUCUUGGUUUGCUCUCAGAUAUAACUUUAUACCGAGUUUAUUUGGAAGAUCGUUAAUGUUUUAAUAGAACAUAGUCUAAGGUAAAGGAUAUCGAAAAUAUAUCUUCAAUACAUUCUUCGAUUGACCGAUAGAUAUUUGUGACAUUAAAAUUUAGUACUGAUUUUCUUUUGCACGUUGUACUGCCGCUUAUGUGAGUGUAGAUACCAAGUGUGUGUGAGUGAGACAGAAUGAUAAGCGAUACCAUUUUAAUUGUUUUCUCUAUUGACUCGGCUUUUAUUUAAUGAAAGAUAAGGUACUCACUGAUUUGCAAGUACUUAUAUUAGUAAACGUGACUUAUGUAUUCGUAAUAGUCGUAUGUGUUUACAUUAAUAAUUGUAAUUAUAAUAAUAUUUAAUGUUUUAUAUUAUUACCUCGGGUCUGUAUGUGGAAGUAUCUAGAAUAUUAUGUAAUAGAUAAUAUUAAGAGAUACGCCACUUAGGCUAAUUUAAAUUAGCAAAUAUUAUUAUUGCUAUAGAUGGUAAUGUUACAUAGGCCCCAGCAUCGAAUCUUGAGCGGUGAGUGAAAGUUAAUGAUAAUAUAUAAUAUAAUUGAUGUACUCCAACAUCGCGUCACUGAGACACGGCACUGUCUGCCAAUGUUACCGCACUUAGAUUUAGGAUUGGUCUCCGCUGCGCUCCAACUAGAUACCGCACUACCUAAGAACAAUACCUUUUCGAUUAUGGCAACUAGUAGAUGCUUGUGUGCGUGGCAACUUGACACUCAAUGUCAUCUUUCAAAUUUUGUAACAUACGCUUCGUGUUAUUUUACAUUGAAAUUAAUAAAAUACAAAAUACUAUAUACUAUAAUAUGUGAUACCAGUGUCUUUCUUAUUUCUUGUAGUAUUAUUUUUACAAGAUUUUACUACGCAAUCCGGCAUUUUAGUUUCAAUUAUUAGCAUAGUUUAACAGAACAUGUGGCACGUGAACGUCACACAUUGUUCGAGGCUGGCUCGAGUACGCCCACUUCGGCGUAGUAGGUAUUAGUUGCCGCACUUUGCGACUACGCCUGCGGUAUCUAGUUGGAGCUCAGCGGAGACCAAUCCUUAAUCUAAGUUACCGCAUUUCGCAAUGACAUCCCGUUUUCAAUUCUGCGUUUCAAUGUUACCGCUUAAGAUCCUUGCCUAAAGGUCAUACAUAGCUCAUUAGAGCAACCCGGCACCCGUCUAGCACAGCCUUGUCGUUUGCGUCACUCGGAGCUAUAAGUUAGCAAUGCGCAGUCGUAACCACUUAAGAUAUCUUUGUGAAUUGAACCUUAUGUUAAGGCCUUAAGGUUUAAUUCACAUUAAAUAUACAAUGUAACUUUUGUAUGGAAUUUUGUUGAGGUUAUAAACAGUAUAUAUAUAGCCGCGUUGAGCAAAUGAGCUGUGACCUUAAUCAGAUGCUUGCCUUUUUGCUAUUUCUAUACCAAUCCUGAGAAGUUUGCUAGUGAUACAAAUUUACUAUUCAUGUGACUUUUUAAAAGUAAUAUAUUUGUACUUUUUAAUAUUUUAUUAGAAUAUACGCAUACCAGUUGCACGCUAUGGUAGCAGUCAUGACAAAUUAUCAAAAUACUGUCCAAUGAACAGAUAUAUGUUGCAUCAAAUGUAGGUAGUUGUCAAUAUAAACGACAUUGAUUGUUGUUAUAAUGAACAUCAUAAUGCGCCGCUAGUUAAGUAAAGACUUGCCCCCAGGAAGACGCUAGCAACUCUCAGAUAUUUGUAUGACAUAAUUUCAGUGCCGGAACUAGGACUCUAAAAUGUGUCAGCUCUGGUACAGAAAUUCUUCCGAUUGGCCCUCGCCAAUUAGAGGUAUCACAUGACUGUUCGUAUACACCAGCAGAAGCACAGUUAUUAUAAACACACUACAAUACGGCUAGUAAGGUUAAAAUGCAUGUUACUAAAGCUUCGUUCUUUAGGAUCAAAACUAACAACACAAUAACAUAAAAAACUGCAUUUACAAUAAACAAAGUUAAACUUAACAAAUUCGAAAAACAAAUAUUUAUUUCGGUACCUACUUGAGCAAUACAUAAUAAAUUAAAAGACACAAUUAAGUAUUGAAUAUACUGCUGCGUUACUUUACGGUAGGUACUGCCCGUCACCAGGCGAGAGCGGGGCGGGUCGGCAGAAGUGGGAGAGGUAAUUAUCGGCAAAGUUACUUGGUUAAUUCGUUAUCCUCCCCUCCGCGUGGAGAAAGCCCGCUAUAGGCUAAUUUACUGUUUUGAUCUUUUGACCGUUUAAAUGUUGUAUUAUAAUAUCGUUGUGUCAGUGCGAAUACAGAAUUUUUUGAUUUUCGAUAUUUCUUGAACUGAAGUUUACAAAAAAGCUUUUUAUUAAAUAAAACUUAUAAGUUUAUUACCAGUUAAUAUGUACAAAAUUCCAUAGACCAUAGUAUGACGAUGGUGAAACAUUAUUUUUUUAAAGAAAUCAUAAGAUCAUAUUAUAACCUGUCCAUUAUAGUAAAAAUAAUACAAAGAAUUCAAUUCUAAUAUUUUUAUUUUGACGUGUUUAGUGAAAUAGUCAUAAUUUCGUACAACUCUGAACGAGCGGCGUCAUUCACAGCACGAAUCUAUCAUAAAUCACGUUUUUUGUUUACAAUAACCAAGCUUGUUUAUCUAGCAACCCGUAACAUAAACCACAUAAUGAUACCUCGAGUAUUAUAAACACAAGUAUUGGGUAUCAUGUUUCAAGUGGCCGGCGCCGGGUUUGGCGCCAAAACAGCUCAGCAAGUGGCUUCUGCGGGUGCGUAUCAGAGGCAUAUGAACUGUAUGCUGAUUUAAACGUAUUGUGCAACGUCGCAGAUAUAUAUAGGAGUUUCCAGCUGGCACACGAAUAGUUAGUCACGGCACUGAAAGUAGUCUAACGCAGUGGUACACUUAUAUUUAGUUGACGGUAACUUCGUCACACUUACCUACUGACACUAAGGCUGAGUUCUGUAGAGCUUAUUAAGACUACUUGCGUCAAACUUAGCUGAAUUUAAGCUUAGCGCAAUCUUUGAUUACGUUAGUGAUUACGUUACGCUAGUGAAGUUACUGGAAAAAUGAGACUUAACAUCCUAUGUCUCAAGGUUACGAGCGCAAUUGUAGUGCCGCUCAGAGUUAUUAGGUUUUUCAAGAAUUCUGAGCGGCACUACAAUGGGCAGGGCGUUUCAAUUACAAUCAGCUGAGCAGCUCAUCUCUUAUUUUCAUAAAAAAAAAACAUUUUUAUUAUCAAUUGACAUAUUACAUUAUACUGAGCUUUAGCUAAGACAGCGUUGAAAAGCCAAGUUUGCGUUUUAUCACACUCAGCAAAGUUUUAGGUGAGUAAAGUCUGUGCAAAGUCUAAAUUAGCUCUAUGCACUCAGUACGUUUAGCAAAGGUAGUCUAUUGUUAAUGUUAUUACACCAUUAUUUAUUAGUUAUAUCAUUUGUUGUAAAAGAAAUGAUAUCAAGUGAACAAAUACAGUAUUUUAUAUGUUAGUGUAUAUGCUAGCCAAUAUACCUAAUUGCCAUUAACAUCUCUUGAUGUAUUCCUAUGAACAAAUUACUUAAUAUUAUUGUACCCAGUGUAGUUAUGUUGUGUUCAAAUGUUUUGGGCACUUGUCAAUGUACAAAGAAUUGAUUGAACGCAAGCGAUAAAUUAAGAAAGUAAUGGAUACAAUGGUAUCCUAAUUAUAAUUUAAGCUUGGGCUCGGUUUGAACAGGCCUUGGUCGAAUUUACCACUGGACACGAAACCCUAGAAGAAGAACCCAAUAGAAUCAUGAAUGACCUUUUUCCGCGGGUUGAGGAGGUAAAAUUACCUAUUACAUCUUAAGGUAUGUAUAGGUAGGUACUUUUGAAAUGACUUAUUAUAAUAUUUUAUCUACACCCAUGCUUUAAAUCCUCUAUUAAAGAUUCUGAAACAGUUAGCUUAUUGCCAACAUUAGAACACCCAAUGUUCUAAUAACCAUUACAUCAUCCAAAAGAGCGUUGUAAUGUUGUACUGAAUUUCAUAACAACACUCCUGUGUUUUUUUUUAUCCCUUCAUGCGCAAAGAGUUUCAACAUACAGCCACAUUCUUAUUGCUCGAUGCGUGAUAUUUGUAUGAAUUUCAAAAAAAGAACAUUUUCGUUUACGCGCGCUCCAACCAUUCCCGCCAUUUUUCUUCGAUAUUUUUAUUGUUUUGUUUACAAAAAAAUAGCGAUUCAUUUUAAACGCUGCAAAAGAACAUUAUAUUCGAGUGAAUUCUAAUUAGUGCACUAUACAAAAUGUAAAUUACUACUAAAAUAAAUAAUUGUUUCAUUAAUACUUAGUUUAUUUGUAUAUAAUCAGUAAUGAAUGAUAUUAGGUUACUACUACGACUGGUGUUUAAUGUUAGCAGUAAGCUAACUGUUCCAGAAUCUUUUAGAGGAUUCAUAUUCUGGGUGUAGAUAAAGUCUUGUAUGCAACUGUUGAUAAGUAGGUAUUAAAACACUCGUGUGAUAAAUCCACAUUCGUGUUUUAAUUACACAACAGUUGCAUAAAUAACUAUUGUAUGUAUACCAAAUUUUAUUUAUUUUAAGAAAAGGAACUACUAUUGUACGUUGAAAUUGUACUUAUACGUGUAAAGACACAUGUUUUGAGUCAUCGUUAUUAUUUCUACAAAACAAAACAGCGCUUUUGCCCAUUUUUGACAUAGCAUUACACUUCGAGAUCUCGCGCAAGACGGCAUAUCACUUGCUGAGGCUAUCAGGCUCAGUAAGUGACUCGAGUGGUAAAGACUAAAGACGAACACGGUCCACGUUACGCAUCCAGUGGUAAGUUCGUCCAAGAAACAGACUGAAGCUGUGAAUCUGUGAACUGUUUUUUUUUCACUAAUUUUAUUUUUGUACUGUAACAGGUAACUAGUACUUGCUGGGUAAGUACUUAAAUAUACUUAAAAAUCUUAAUAAUGAUGCUUGGCAUUAUGCAAUGUGAAUUUUUAUUUUAUUAUUUAAAAAAAUAUGUUAUAUUUGUGCCUGUCAUGGCGGAUCGUAUAUAUUCCUAGUAUAAUUAAAUUAUAGAUGUAUUAUAGGUCUGUAUUUCAGUAUUGCGUUGAUUCUAAAUCGUAUUUAUACCAAAGGACUCGGUUGAGGCUGAGAGAUAAAAUUAUAAAUUUAAAUUAUAACUGGGCCUAGGUAUUGCACAUAGUUGAGUAAUUGUAUCAAAAUGCCUGAAUAACUUAAAACCAAACACAUCUUAAAAACAAAAUUAGAUUAUCAUUAAAUUCUACAUUUAAGACUCUCAAAACCUAAUAUUAUGCCUAUUAAGGGAUACCAUUCAAAGAAUAAGCUAUACCCUUCACUUCAAUAACAGGUUGAAGAGAUAGCAAGUGUGCAAAUCCUGCUUUAGGACGGUUUUUAACCUUCAAAUAACAUUUUUUCAAUAUGUAACAAUGUUAAUCAAUUAAGUGAACAAUUAAAUAUAAAUAAACCUCGUAAUGAGAAGUUUUUCUACUUUAAGUAAAUGAUUUUUAAGGUAGGCCUUUAAUUCAUUCGUUUUUACCUAGGUCCAAAAAUGCUGUUUAGAAAAUUUUACCGAUGUAUAUUAUAAAGUACAAUAAUCAUUUAUCUAUGCAAUGAAGUGAUUAUAUUAUGAUAUUUGUUUGUGAUAUAAUAUUGUGAUUAUCUCUUAUAUUUAACGUUUUAUAAAUAUACCACUUAUUUACUUGUACUUACGCAUAUUUUAUCGUAAUAGAGCCAGUUUUUUACAUUUUCUGGGUUGAAGAGUACUUGAACAUAAUACGAAAUGCUAUUUAUUAAAUAAAUUCCCUAAUCUUUAAGAUAAGUUACAGUACUUGUAUUGUAAACUAUUGUAUGUUUUCUUUGUUGAAUUUUAUUAUUCAUGUAAAUUGUACUUUAUUCAUGCUUAAAAUAUAUAUAAAUUAUUAUAUAAAUAUAAGAAAAGUGUUCGUUUGCAAUGUAUGUAAGUAGAAAUACAAAAUUUAAAUAAAGCUUUCGCAUAUA
RNA transcript from Leptidea sinapis, 11096 nucleotides. It is a transcript of the gene named phospholipid-transporting ATPase ABCA3-like, with no coding region annotated. The transcript is spliced from 14 exons. The record is from RefSeq and is a predicted model, not a curated record. Lineage: Eukaryota; Metazoa; Arthropoda; Insecta; Lepidoptera; Pieridae.